GGACAUUGUCAGAAACCGCCUAAAAAACCGCCCAAAAACAUUAACCCAUCAUAAUUAUUUUCUAUUUUUUUUAAUACAUUAAGCACCCUUUCAUUCUAAUGGACACUUAAGCAUUGAAAAAUUAAAUAAAUAAGUCUUUUAACGUUUAUUCUAUAAUACUAUUACAACUUCCGGACGUUUUGGUGCGUGGCAUGGUCUAAAACCUAUCAAGUUCCAUAAUUUUUGCCGAUAAAAUCUGUACGAGGCAUUACCGUACUUUAUUGCUGGGAGUCCAUGUAUAGUGAUGUUCCUGCGGCCAUCAUAGACAAUAAAAUAUCGAUUUUGAAAAUAAAAUAAAUCGAUUAAACUGCUUUGAAGACUAGAUUUGCGUUAAAAGCUAAAAAGAUAUUGACAGUUUGACACUAUUACAAGAAGAUAUCUAAAGUGUCCAACUGGUCGAAGGUCGUAAAUAAAAUAAAAAUAAUUAGGACCAUAAACUGAUAUUCAUGGUAUCAUAACUGUAAAAGUGUCAGAAUCCGAUGUUGAAUCCAAUGCCAGUUGAAGUGUGAGAAACAUAUAUAUAUUUUUUUUAUGUGACAGGAGGCAAAUGAGCAGACGGAUCACCUGAUAUCAACCUAGUAUAGUUGCCAGUCUCUCAUAAUCUAUGCCAAUGAGGGUUUUCGCGAUUGAAAAAUCCGCCAGGUGGCAAUACGUAGACGUGAGGUCCAAAUGCUGCAUGAUUGGUUAUUUUUGACAUGACAUUGACAGAUAUCCACCAAUCAUGCAGCAUUUGGACCUCGCGUCUACGUAUUGCCAUCUCGCGGAUUUUUCAAUCGCGAAAACCCUCAUUCAUAGCACAUGUAUAAUAAUAGACCAAAUGAACUUUUAUAGAUUGUGAAAGAGAAGAUAAAGAUUUUAUUAUUUUAUUAAAAUCUUGCCACGAGGUAGUUUUUCAGUAGAAACCAGGAUUGGAUAAUCGCUACAGGCAAGUAUCAGAACAUUUUAUAAAUAUUUUUAAUCGAUUAUAUCCAUGUGAAUCGUUUUAAUAAAUUGUCAUUUUACUUUUUCAAUUAAAACUUUUUCAAUCCCUAGUCUUGUCAAACUGUCAUAAUGUCAACAAAUUAUAAAUGUCACGUCAGUUGACUCAAUUUCAGUCUUCUAAAGAAAACCAAUGUGGUGCCCUUAUUAUUCAUGCUGUUUGAAAGUUACAAGUCAGUGAUACAGAGUUGCCGACAUUAUAACUCCGUAGUGAUACCAUACCAAAGAAGAAGUUUUCCUAAACACUUGUGUUGUUUUUAUAUGUGAUCGAAUAAAAAGGAUUAAUUCUACUGCUCAAAUGGAAUAACUUAUCCCAAGAGACCGAAUAUAAAAAAAACCUCUCCAUAGAAAUUAUCACCAUCACGAGGAUGUGAAUUUUUUUGAGAAUUUGAUAUUGGUCCUGUAAGAAAAGUAGUUGUAUUUCAGUAGUAGAAUCAACCCUUCUUGUUUCAUCAGCAAGAGUAACUAUAAAAACGCCCUGUAGGUAGGUAUUAUUAAGCUGAAGAGUUUGUUUAGUGUCAAAGACUGUCACACAGUGUAACUUAAAUUGGCAUAUUAUGAUAAUGAACAUAAAAACUUAAAUAAAUAUUUAUGUUAAUA
Molecule: long non-coding RNA, 1617 nt
Organism: Ostrinia nubilalis (European corn borer)
Lineage: Eukaryota; Metazoa; Arthropoda; Insecta; Lepidoptera; Crambidae
Exons: 2
Source: RefSeq, a predicted model, not a curated record